UAUUGGACAAUGGGGGCAACCCUGAUCCAGCCAUGCCGCGUGAGGGAUGAAGGCCUUCGGGUUGUAAACCUCUUUUAGCAGGGACGAUGAUGACGGUACCUGCAGAAUAAGCCACGGCUAACUUCGUGCCAGCAGCCGCGGUAAUACGAAGGUGGCUAGCGUUGUUCGGAUUUACUGGGCGUAAAGGGAGCGUAGGCGGUGAGAUAAGUCAGAUGUGAAAGCCCAAGGCUUAACCUUGGAAUUGCAUUUGAAACUGUUUUGCUCGAGUGUGGGAGAGGAUAGCGGAAUUCCAAGUGUAGAGGUGAAAUUCGUAGAUAUUUGGAAGAACACCAGGGCGAAGGCGGCUAUCUGACCACAACUGACGCGAAGCCGAAA
This 375-nucleotide ribosomal RNA is filed under the name uncultured bacterium. RNAcentral describes it as "bacterial SSU rRNA". It matches the Rfam family "Bacterial small subunit ribosomal RNA", at positions 362 to 758 of the family's 1533-position model. The record is from RNAcentral.